Molecule: ribosomal RNA, 253 nt
Filed under: uncultured bacterium
Lineage: Bacteria
Description: partial 16S ribosomal RNA
Rfam family: Bacterial small subunit ribosomal RNA
Source: RNAcentral
UACGUAGGGCGCAAGCGUUGUCCGGAAUUAUUGGGCGUAAAGAGCUCGUAGGCGGCUUGUCACGUCGGUUGUGAAAGCCCGGGGCUUAACCCCGGGUCUGCAGUCGAUACGGGCAGGCUAGAGUGUGGUAGGGGAGAUCGGAAUUCCUGGUGUAGCGGUGAAAUGCGCAGAUAUCAGGAGGAACACCGGUGGCGAAGGCGGAUCUCUGGGCCAUUACUGACGCUGAUGCGCGAAAGCUAGGGGAGCGAACGGG